UGUCUCGGCCGGGGCUCGAUCCCGAACUUCGUGCUUUUUGGUAUGAAUGAUGCUCAUUACGCCAUCGAGAC
Molecule: non-coding RNA, 71 nt
Organism: Teladorsagia circumcincta
Lineage: Eukaryota; Metazoa; Nematoda; Chromadorea; Rhabditida; Trichostrongylidae
Source: the annotation of a GenBank genome assembly